UCCAAGUUGAUACCCAUAUACGUCAAAGGACUUCCCACUUGUGAGGAUCCAUACCCUGAUGUGAUGACUAAUUUUAUGUGUCAAUUUAGCUGGGUCAUGAUGCCCAGAUAUUUGGCCAAACAUUAUUCUGGAAGUUUCUGUGAAAGUGUUCCUUGGAGGAGAUUAACAUUUAAAUCAGUGGACUUUGAAUAAAGCACGUACCCUUCCAUAAUGUGUUUAGACCUCAUCCAAUUAGUUGAAGACUUUAAUAGAAACACUGACUUCUUCUGAGCAAGAAGGAAUUCUGUCAGCAGAUGGCCUUUGGACUUGAACUGCAACAGUGACUUUCCAGCCUGCCAGUCCACAGGAAGAAUUUGGACUCACCAGCCCCCAUAAUCAUUUACCUGCAGUCAACCACGGUCUGGAAGCAACCUCCUGCAUGUUGACAGAAGGAAACACGAAUUGUGUUUUUCACUGAAAAAUUCUGGCUCACGUAAUUCUUGAUGUCACAACUGAACUCAAAACUCAUUCUUGUUUUGGAAUUUUUUAAAAGCCUGAUUGCAAGUUCUGCAGAAAUCAUAAGAACUCAAAACUUUGUGAUGUUUUGAUGCUGGUUCAACAGAAUCCAAGUUACUUUAGGUCAAUAUAAAGGAAAUGACUUAAACCAAUGAUUAAAUUUGUGUAAAGUCCACUGGAAACAA
This is a long non-coding RNA of Leopardus geoffroyi (Geoffroy's cat), 680 nucleotides long. RefSeq lists it as uncharacterized. The transcript is spliced from 3 exons. Lineage: Eukaryota; Metazoa; Chordata; Mammalia; Carnivora; Felidae. The record is from RefSeq and is a predicted model, not a curated record.